UAGGGAAUCUUCGGCAAUGGGGGGAACCCUGACCGAGCAACGCCGCGUGAGUGAAGAAGGUUUUCGGAUCGUAAAGCUCUGUUGUUAAGGAAGAACGAGUGUGAGAAUGGAAAGUUCAUACUGUGACGGUACUUAACCAGAAAGGGACGGCUAACUACGUGCCAGCAGCCGCGGUAAUACGUAGGUCCCGAGCGUUGUCCGGAUUUAUUGGGCGUAAAGCGAGCGCAGGCGGUUAGAUAAGUCUGAAGUUAAAGGCAGUGGCUCAACCAUUGUAGGCUUUGGAAACUGUUUAACUUGAGUGCAGAAGGGGAGAGUGGAAUUCCAUGUGUAGCGGUGAAAUGCGUAGAUAUAUGGAGGAAUACCGGUGGCGAAAGCGGCUCUCUGGUCUGUAACUGACGCUGAGGCUCGAAAGCGUGGGGAGCGAACAGG
Molecule: ribosomal RNA, 429 nt
Filed under: Bacteroidota bacterium
Lineage: Bacteria; Pseudomonadati; Bacteroidota
Description: Bacteroidetes bacterium partial 16S ribosomal RNA
Rfam family: Bacterial small subunit ribosomal RNA
Source: RNAcentral